GAAACUUGUAAUCCUCCUGCUUUCGCCUCCAGUUGCUGGGAUGACAGGCAACUCAUCCUUCCUCCAGUGAUUCAGGGGACAGCGCUGACACCGAUCCGACCUUCACCCCGAGUUCUAAUGUUAGCAGAGUGCUUUGGCAAAGCCUGAAGCAGCCAUGCCUCAGUCGGGUCUGUGAUCUCUAAGCGGUGCUCUGCAGAAUGCCCUGCCUGGGGAAUCCUGAAAAGCACCGAGUAUGGUGAGUCAAAGUCCGUGAGAUCAGCACCUGGUCAAAGAGCCUUUAUCGGGAAAUUUAAAUGACGCUACCCAAGAAGAGGGUCUGCAAAGGCACAGACUGAGGCAAAAUGCAGAGCCAGAGCACUUGCUGCUUUAGUCCAGCCAUAAGGUGGGUCUGAAGACAUGGAAAGCCUGUGGGAUGCAUUAACUGGAAGAAGUGACGGACUUCCUGAGACGGUCCCACAGGGUCUCCCACAGCGUGUGAAAGAGGAAAGCAAAUUUGCCUCUAAUGCAGCCCCAUGCUGUAUCAGUUGCACGUGUUCUUUCUCAUCAUUGUUCACACAAAACAUUCCUUUCCUGCCCAAUCUUUAGGAGGUGGUUAGUCUGGACUAGCAGAAGGGCAUUGGUUCUUAGAGUUGGAUGUGAGUUUGAAUCCACAUCCUUCAGACUGUGUGAGCCUGGGCCCGUGAGUGCCCUGAGUUCCAGCCCCCUCUUCCAUGCACAGGGAUGGUGCACAGCAGUGCACAGCAGUGGCGGCCAUCCUUAGUGAGGAAGCCAGAGGCUUCAGACAGCCAUCAGUCAUGGCUCACAGCACACUGCAGCACCGAAGUCCACCAGGGUGGCUGCCCUGACUGGCACAAAUAACUGGCACAGGCACUCACUGUCACACACCUGAACUUCCUAAAAUUUUCUGUUCAGAGAUUAAACUAGAUCUCAAAGAGUUCAAAAAGAGUAAACUUACAGGAUCUCGUCUCCUAAGUGAAAACCUGUCUGUCCUGAACUUCAUGAGUCCUAAUUUCAGGGGUAUUGGUGCCAAUGUGGGUCCAAAGCUAAAAUGAUGUAGAAUCCUUGCUAAAUAUAGGUUGUUCAUAAAUGUCUUCUGCCCUCUUUCCUUUCUCUGUCUUCUCAUUCACUCACUGACCAUCCAUUUCAUUCCUCCUACUUACCACAGGUCUGUUUUUAAGAGUAUGUGUUAACUUUCCUUGACAGAAUCAAAACUUGGAGAUGCAUUUGUCAUGAUUGCAUGAUUUGUCAUGAUGAAGCGAGUCAGAGGUGGGUAGGCCAGCUUCCUGGGAGGUCAGAGUUGACAGUGGUGUUAUUGCUAACUGUAUGGAAGUAUUGGAAUCCUAAGGGGGUUACAAUAGAGUAUGGAGGGGCUUCUGACGCAGGGAUAUAAUGAGCUAAACUGGAUUAAUAACCAAUGGUAUUUUUAUUUUCAAACACUGGCUUCAAAUUGCAUAAUGCUAAAGACAAACUGGUGUUUGACUGAACACAAUGUCCUUGGCAGGACUGAGUGUCUGAGCUUCUUAUCCAACCAAGUGCUCAAAAUGGGAAAUAUUUCAUUAAGAAAAAAAAAAAAAAAAAAAGACAAUUUUUAAGACCAGAUAAUUUUGUGGGUAACAUAAUCAGAGUGACUUUCUGAAUCAGACUGACUGGACUGAUACCCCAGUUCCACCACCUCUAAAGGUUUGGUGAUCAUGGACAAGUAACAUAAGCCAGUCUCCUCAUUGUUCCCCGUGGAGUGGGACUCACUGAUAACUCUAGCACAGUGAAGCACUUGCCACAAUGCCUGGCUCAAGACAUGUCCUGAGUCAAUGUUUACCUCUUUUGCUAUUAUUACAUACUACUGGAGUAAACUUUAAAAGCAACCAUAGAUUAAAAUCAGUCAAACUGAGACUGUUCAGCUAUAUAGCCAGGAUAUUAGUUGUUUGUUUUAAACUUUCAAUAAAUUUGCUUUAAUGUGGUUGAAUUUUCUGUCAGGCCAAUUUUAAGGGAAAUUUGAGAGGUGAGAUCUGGUUCUGGUGCCUGAGCCCACGGCCUUAAGCCAGGGCAAGGUCUCCUCUAGGGUUGUGCCUACGCAGUUCAUCAGCAAAUGAUGAUCACGUUAGGAUUCUUACCUGAAGAUCAAGUGUUAAUCUUUAUGAUCAUGUUCAUUGAUAGAUAAUAGUUUAAAAAAGAAUCUUUGUUGGACUGGGGGUGUAGUAAAAUGGUAAAAGCACUUCCUAGCAUGUAUGAAGCCCUGGACCCUAACCCCAGCACUGCAAAAAACAAAACAGAAUAAAAAAAAUAAUUUUAAAGAAUGUUAUUUUUUCUUACAUUUAGUUGACUGAAGUACAUUUGUUUGGAUAAACCUAGGUAAAAUGGUAUUGUUUUCCCAGGGGAAAGGGAAGAUGAUUAAUAUUGACUUCCUAAACAGAUACACAUCAAGUGUUUAUCCUGCCCAGCCCUGAGUUUGGACUUAGGGAUGAGAUGCAAACAGCUCAUGGUUUGUAUCUGAGCUUAUUAUUCUAUUGAAUUAAAAUGCAUUAGGACUUUGGGGACAUGAAGUGAAGAUUCAACGAGAAGGGAGGUUUUGGGGUUAACCAAGACAAAGACAGGGAGAUGCAGAUUCCAAAACAGACAAAUGAAUGCACAUAUUUACUUCAAAUACAAGCACUUCCUAAAAAUGGUAUGUAUGCACACUGGAUUUAUGGGUUGAAUUUGUUGCAGUUUAUUUAGUUGAGACAAAUGAUCAUAUGAAGAUUUUCCUCAUUCAGAACUUUCAGAAUGUCAGAAGACCGUAUUUCAAAACUAAAUUAGUUCAGGUAGCACUGAUUUUGAAUUUAUCUUCUUUUGAGCAUGGACUGGAUUAAAGUUAUUUUUGGCUUUUUGAAAAUAGAACUCUUGUCAAAACUAAGGAAGAUUACAAGGGGAACAGGUAAGUUUCUCAAGGGAGAGAAUUUAUAAAGCAAAAAUAGAUUCGCUUGUUAUGAAGAUGAUUAUACAAAACCUACACGUUAGCCUUUUUUUGGUGAGACAUCAUCAUAUGGACUUUACCAAUCAAUACUUUGUUCUCAUGGACAGUUACUCUACAAAGUUGGAAAUAGUAAAAUUGCUUUUCUUUAAAAGCUUUCUAUCCUGCUAUCUCUUCUCUCUUUUGGAUGGAUCUUACAACUAUCUACUGUACUCCAUGAAUAUGUUUGAAACUUUUUACUUUUUUGACUACUAGAGACAAAACUAUGGUUUCCAAAAGCAUUGAUGGACCAGUUUUGGGGAUCUCUGAAAAACCCCAGGUGUGAGUUGGUCUGAGUUGUGCCCAGAUGCAUGUGCUUUGGAAGAGCUCCCUAGCUUCUUGGAUGUGAGGGGAAUCGGGGAGCUGCAUAGCAUCACUGCCUGCUCCCAUCUUGCCACUAGGCUGGAAUCUCCCUGUACCAUUGGCCUGGAUCCCUCAGAGUCUUCUCAUUCAACUUCCUGGCCCAGGUGUUGAUGUGGGACACAGUCUCCUCCUGACGGACCCUGUUCGAUCUCUGGAGCCUCAAAAGCUGCCGCUCCUCCACCUGCAUCCUGCUCACCAGCUGUGCGGUGACUCUGUGUUCUCUAAGUACCCUGGUCUCUCAAGCUUCCGUACUUCUGCAUAUGCUGUCUGCUCUGCCUGGAACUCUGUAUCUCCAUGUUCACAGGCCCCAUCCCUAGUUAUUGUCAAGACAUAAAGCAUCACACCUCCUGGAAGCCUGUUGCCUGCUGAGUGAGGGUCUGUGAUUCUCAGGUAUCAGCCCUUAUAAAACUGCACUCUGAAAGGGAUUUUCUUGUGUGUUCCUUCCUGAGGCACAAGCCCCUUGACAGUGAGGACAGUGCACCUCUGUAUUUUUAGCACUUGGUAUGGGUCUAGAGUAUAGGAGGGCUCGGUCAAUAUGUUCAAGUAAUACAAACCAGGAGCCUUUUUCUAGCACUGCAAAAGGACUUGUUGAUAUUAAAAUGGGCAGUCACUACUGCACUCUCAACUUUGUUCUGUUCUAUGCGUAAAACACUGGUUUUUCUAAUAAUAUACUAUAAACCUCUUUCUAUUUUAUUAUACUUUAAACAUUAUAUCUUUAAACAUGUUAGGAAAAUUAAAUCUUAGACCACUGGCGAAGAGAACUAAGGGAUCAUUGUGUUGCAUGUUCGGUUGCCUGGAGAGUUACAUGUAUUUAACAUUUUAAAUUUGGUUCUGUGAAAUGGGCGGCAGAAUGCAAAAACCUGUUAUAGCAAAUUAUGAUGUGAUAAAUUUAUCUACGAGAAACUUCACAAGAAACAUGAGGGUAAGACUGUUACCUCUUCUGUAAAGGAGAUGGCGCUUUGCUGUAGCUCAUCCAGAUAAGGCGAUACUCCCAGCAAAGAGACUGCGAGGCUAACAGACACACGCCAACCUAAAGGAGGCCAGCUGCCAGGGGAAGGAGGGCGGGCGGAACGCGUGCGUGGGCCUGGGAGAGGGCGUAGCCCAGGCCACGGCUUCUCAUUUUUAUCUUUUCAUGAUCUACAGAUUAAUCAGUAACUUUGAUGGAGACAAACACAGAUGGUCAGAGUUGUGAAGACCCAAAGCAGACCCGACAGAUGACUGAUGUCAAAUAGACUUCUCAGCCAAGGAUCAGCCAACUAAGCAAUGUUUAAUAUACACAAUGAGAAUUCUUCUAAGUAGCGGUAAAACAUCAGCCUCACAAGAAUAGGAUAAUAGUGACUUGGAUCAUCAGUUGCUAAAAUGGAAAAGACCCCAGGGUUUUAACCGAUCCCAAGGUUGGUUUUAAUUUCUGUGGACAGUUUCUAGCAGGUGCUAGAAAGGAAGGAACCUUCCAAGAACGCAUCAUCUAGUAACUACAUCUGCACAAGCCUGCAUCUGACCAACCACCUGGAAUAGUGAGGACCGGUGGGGCUACAUAGCAACCCAUCUCCCAGGAUCUCCUUAUCAGGUGACUUGAAACAACUAGGAGGAAGAAUAAAUUUCUCACCAAAACAUGCCCCCUGUUGACUCGAAGACAGAGAAAGACAAAACUGCAUAGUAAUUGAGAAAACAAGGAAAAUCCCUCAGUCAGUGUGUGGUCUCACUCGGCCACCCCUCCCCACUUAGCUGUAAGAAUUUUUAGGGACAGACCAAGAAAAGCAGCAUGAAAGAAAGAAGAGGGAGACUGGCGAAGGGUGAGUUAAGCAAGCCCUAGACUGACUAAAUGCACCAUAUGUUAGAAAAUCAGAACAAGCAUCUAAGCAGAUCAGGGCACAGAGCACUGAAGAGGAAUUUCAAGUACUAGCAACUUCAAGGACCAAGCACCCCUGCAAGGAUUGUCCAAUAUUAAAGGGACAGAGGGACAGGUGUAAUUUAACAGGAUAAGCUACAUUUAAAGAGGAUCUUUGCAAUCUGUGACUUUAGGAGGAAAUGGGACAAAAGGAAGGCAGACACACCAUUUGGUAAUUUGUCAAUGAAGGGGAAAAGAAGAAAGAAAGGGAAAAAUUUAGAGUCCUAUAAGAUAAAAGAGAACUAUAAAAUUGGAGGGCUCAAAACCCUUCCCACAUCAUUAAACAGAGAGAAAACAGUUAACUACCUGAACUUUUCUGUUCUUUCAGAAGAGGGCAACAUUAAGUGAGGAAUCUAGUGAAACACCCAAUGUAGAAACAAAGAUGAAGUAGAGAUGUUCAGGUAGAUAAAUGGAAGGAGGAAGGAAAAAAGGGAAGGAGGGA
Long non-coding RNA from Sciurus carolinensis (gray squirrel), 5679 nucleotides. RefSeq lists it as uncharacterized. The record is from RefSeq and is a predicted model, not a curated record. Lineage: Eukaryota; Metazoa; Chordata; Mammalia; Rodentia; Sciuridae. The transcript has 3 exons.